This 1580-nucleotide ribosomal RNA is filed under the name metagenome. RNAcentral's name for it is "bacterial LSU rRNA". It matches the Rfam family "Bacterial large subunit ribosomal RNA", at positions 1348 to 2925 of the family's 2925-position model. The record is from RNAcentral.
GGGUUUCCUGAGGAAGGCUCGUCCGCUCAGGGUUAGUCGGGACCUAAGCCGAGGCCGAAAGGCGUAGGCGAUGGACAACAGGUUGAUAUUCCUGUACCACCUCCUCACCAUUUGAGCAAUGGGGGGACGCAGGAGGAUAGGGUAAGCGCGGUAUUGGAUAUCCGCGUCCAAGCAGUUAGGCUGGGAAAUAGGCAAAUCCGUUUCCCAUAAGGCUGAGCUGUGAUGGCGAGCGAAAUAUAGUAGCGAAGUUCCUGAUUCCACACUGCCAAGAAAAGCCUCUAGCGAGGUGAGAGGUGCCCGUACCGCAAACCGACACAGGUAGGCGAGGAGAGAAUCCUAAGGUGAUCGAGAGAACUCUCGUUAAGGAACUCGGCAAAAUGACCCCGUAACUUCGGGAGAAGGGGUGCUCUGUUAGGGUGCAAGCCCGAGAGAGCCGCAGUGAAUAGGCCCAGGCGACUGUUUAGCAAAAACACAGGUCUCUGCGAAGCCGUAAGGCGAAGUAUAGGGGCUGACGCCUGCCCGGUGCUGGAAGGUUAAGAGGAGCGCUUAGCGUAAGCGAAGGUGCGAAUUGAAGCCCCAGUAAACGGCGGCCGUAACGAUAACGGUCCUAAGGUAGCGAAAUUCCUUGUCGGGUAAGUUCCGACCCGCACGAAAGGCGCAACGAUCUGGGCACUGUCUCAACGAGAGACUCGGUGAAAUUAUAGUACCUGUGAAGAUGCAGGUUACCCGCGACAGGACGGAAAGACCCCGUGGAGCUUUACUGCAGCCUGAUAUUGAAUGUUGGUGCAGCUUGUACAGGAUAGGUAGGAGCCUUGGAAACCGGAGCGCCGGCUUCGGUGGAGGCAUCGGUGGGAUACUACCCUGGCUGUAUUGACCUUCUAACCCGCCGCCCUUAUCGGGCGGGGAGACAGUGUCAGGUGGGCAGUUUGACUGGGGCGGUCGCCUCCUAAAAGGUAACGGAGGCGCCCAAAGGUUCCCUCAGAAUGGUUGGAAAUCAUUCGCAGAGUGUAAAGGCACAAGGGAGCUUGACUGCCAGACCUACAAGUCGAGCAGGGACGAAAGUCGGGCUUAGUGAUCCGGUGGUUCCGCAUGGAAGGGCCAUCGCUCAACGGAUAAAAGCUACCCCGGGGAUAACAGGCUUAUCUCCCCCAAGAGUCCACAUCGACGGGGAGGUUUGGCACCUCGAUGUCGGCUCAUCGCAUCCUGGGGCUGUAGUCGGUCCCAAGGGUUGGGCUGUUCGCCCAUUAAAGCGGUACGCGAGCUGGGUUCAGAACGUCGUGAGACAGUUCGGUCCCUAUCCGUCGCGGGCGCAGGAAAUUUGAGAGGAGCUGUCCUUAGUACGAGAGGACCGGGAUGGACGCACCGCUGGUGUACCAGUUGUUCUGCCAAGGGCAUCGCUGGGUAGCUAUGUGCGGACGGGAUAAGUGCUGAAAGCAUCUAAGCAUGAAGCCCCCCUCAAGAUGAGAUUUCCCAUUCCGCAAGGAAGUAAGAUCCCUGAAAGAUGAUCAGGUUGAUAGGUCUGAGGUGGAAGUGUGGCGACACAUGGAGCUGACAGAUACUAAUCGAUCGAGGACUUAAUC